This 1725-nucleotide long non-coding RNA is filed under the name Mus musculus (house mouse). RNAcentral's name for it is "predicted gene, 20125". The record is from RNAcentral. Lineage: Eukaryota; Metazoa; Chordata; Mammalia; Rodentia; Muridae.
GUCUGUUAAAUAAAAUAUCACAUUGGACCCCUAUAUUGAUGCCAUUUUGCAGAUUGAGACAAGAUGUGAACAGUAGAAUCUCCCAGCUAUACUUAGGAGUCAAAGAAUAUAUUGAAACAAAAAACCCAGGCAGAGGCAAAACAGAUGAGGACUAACUAGUUCCUGUGCUUUGGAAAAGAUGCAAUUGACAAGUAAACCAGGAAGUAAGAGUAACUGGACCACUGCCCCUACCUCAUAGUAGUUGGAAAGGGAAAAAUUGUACUUACCAUAUAGAGAAAAAUUUGAAAUCUUGGUAGCUUAAGUGAUCAUUUCACUCAGUAAUUCGAGUGCCUGUUGAGAUGUGUGUACAAGCUCAGACAGUCUUCCUGGGCUGCGCCAGACUACUAAAAAGCCGAUGAAGCACAUUCUUUAUUCUGCUACAAAACAAAUGUGAAAAUGUCUUGAUGAAAGCUCAGCUGCUUUGCAAAUGUACAAUGAAGGCAAAUUUAACUGUCUGGGAUUGAACGAAGCCACAGUGAAAUGAUGAGAGUGGUUGCAGGAUUUUAGGAAUUUUUGUAUUUGGAUAAAUGAGAAGAUCAACCUGUCCUGUGUUCCCCGCGUGGCUACUGUGGGCUUUGAAGAAGUUAAUGUAGAGAAAGCCUGCUCUUAUGGUGUCUCGUUUUGUUAUCAAUGAAGACUGCAUCUGGACUAGGGAUGGAGGCAGGUGUCCACUUACCUUUUCAGCUCUAGGACCCUUUCUGGUACAGAAACAAAACAUAUUGCCUCAAGUUUCCAGGAGUUCACAUAUGUAUUAAUUCUGAUGAAUUAAAGAACAUAAUUUUUGGGGUGUCCUCCAGCCCUUCUGAACUUUAUGAUUGGAAAAAUGAUUUAUAGUAGCUCAAAACUUGAACGGAAACAAAAGAUUGCUCUGCUGUGUUAUAAACAAGAUUGUGUAAGCAGUCUAAUAAAAUGGGAAAUAAAUUGGGAUCAGCUAUUCCUCUGUAUCAGAUGGUGACUUCGUGUAGGAAUACUCUGCUGACCCUGGAGAAUGUUAUGUACACAGAGAUGGAUCAGUUCCCAAGGGAACCCAGGCCAGCAAUGAGAGUGGUGGCCUCAAAACCAUGGUACUCCUGCACAUGUUUGGCUGAGCUUCAGAUUGUUUUGUGAGUGUGCUGGCAGUGCAAGGGAGGAUGAUGGAGUUAUGAAAUGUAGAAUAUAUGGCCCAGGCCCAAUGGGGCAGCUGGGGUUAACUUUGGCUCAGCAGCUUGGCUCUGCCUUUAAUAUAUUGUCUUUCCUUAACUGCCUGGACUCAGCAUGUUGGGGGGAUGAUGCAAGGCAUUGUCCCAUUGCAUUGCAAAACUAUGGUGUAGACUCAAAAGAGCUCCUCUGACUAAACCUAGAACCUGUAACUCAUGUGAAGCUUCCUUGUCACCAGGCAUAUCAGCAUUUUCAGAAGAAAGAUUUCCAUUUUAGAGAAUCAAAGUGGCCAUUCACCACUGCUGAUUACUUUUAUCUUGUCUGUCAUACUUUCCUAGACUCCUGUCACACCAUUGCUAGGUUCUAGUGUCAACCACCUCAAAAUGGCACCUAUUAAUUUUUCCUGGUUAUAUAUACUGAGUGCCAGUACAAGUAUGAAGUGCUCUUAUAUCCUACCAUAUUGCCAUAAAAAAGUGUUGGUUUUAUGUUUCCAUUUGUAUUUUCCUGAUGACAAAGGUUGUUAGGUAUCCAUUAAAUAGUUAUUGAUUA